GGCGUCCUCCUCCUUGCCACCCCUUCUCCUCCUUGCCGUGGCCUUCUCUUUGGACAUCCCCUUGCUGGUGUGAAUGUUGGAAUUUCAGUGUCAGGGCAUGCAUGUAUGUUUUAUCCUUGCCGCACAAGUGUUUGACCUGUACGGAUAUCCACUCAGGAUCAGCCUGGAACAGUCCUUUUUGAUAUUGAUUUUUCUUCUUUAAGAAAAAUUAGUCUGU
This 217-nucleotide long non-coding RNA is filed under the name Elaeis guineensis (African oil palm). RNAcentral's name for it is "long non-coding RNA (EGUI_LNC052523)". Lineage: Eukaryota; Viridiplantae; Streptophyta; Magnoliopsida; Arecales; Arecaceae. The record is from RNAcentral.